AGAGCCCAAGGUAGAACUCCAAGCUGAGAAGAACAUAUUCUUCUAGAGAAGAUCCUAUGUCAUGUGAAUGCACCACCAUUUUGGAAGUUUAGCCCAACACAUGAUGGGGAAGAUCAUUCUGCAUGGAAGAACUCUACCCAAAAGGCGAGGAUAACAGCGAGCUGCGAAUCCUUCUCCUCGGGGCGAGCUUCAAGGGCCCUUCCACACGGGCCGUUUUAUUUGGAUUUAGACGGCUAACAGCUGCAAAUCAUGCGCUCGCCCAUCCCCACGCCGCGCCUUUCUUUCCUCCCGCCUCUCUCUCUCUCUCUCUCUCUUUCUUUCCCAAGGAAUCUGAGAAGACCUGCGUUUAAUGAAACGUGAAGUGUGAAAACUUCCUGAGCUGCCGAAGCGACUCCUAAUGAUGUUCCCAGAUGUGGCGGCGGACUGGAGCAAGGGGCGAUGGCUGUUAGAACCUCACCUUCCCGGGCGCACCGUUAGGGCCCGGCGAGCGGGAAAGCUCUCCAAGCCGUGCGUAAUUGCGCACGGGAGAGGUUCUGCUUUUAUUUUGUUUGCCUGCCUGCCUUUGCGGUGGGCAGCUCUCGCCCUGGAAAAAGAAUAAGUCUUUGUAAUCUUUCUCUCUCUCUUUAAUUUCUUUUCACCCCCGUGGCUCAUUGCGUGGAUCUGGGUUUUGAAAAGCGGGGGGGGGGACUUAUGGAGAGCCGGAUCCUCGGUUUAGAAAAGGAAAGCUGCCGGCGCUUUCGAGCUGUUCCGGUGAAAUUCAAUUUUCGCUGAAUUCUAAAGAUCUUCUCGCUGAUUCCCUUCCAGGCUGCUACGCGGUGCAAAGACAGAACUUGAAGGAACAGCUCCUGGCCAAACUGCUGAGCGGCACCCCUCGUCAUGCGCCCCAUUUCAAGAGCGCAACGGCUCUGAACCGGAUCGCUGGCGGGGAUUUCACGGAGAGGCCAGCUUUGUGGUCUCAAGUUAUUGUGGGGGUACCGAUGGGCCUUGGGGAGACCUAGUGGAGGUGUUAACCAGCAGAGACUUCAUGAAUUUUACAUGCAGGGGGAGCUGGCCGGUCGAUUGGAGGGAGUUGGACAAAAAGGGGUCACCUUUUUGAUCCACCCCAAUCGUUGUCCGGCCCCAAGUGCCUUGAAUUUUCAGAGCAAACCGGUGGACUGAAAACUCAUUAAGGCUGGAAGACAAAAGAAUGUCUUGAGGGGGGUGGGCGGGCGGCUGGUGGCGGCGAGGAAGAACCGUAAGACCAUUUCUGAGCCAGAGGCCUCCUAAUCCGAUUUGAGUGGAAAAUUCACGGCGAGGUGGCCAAGUCCUGCUCUUACACAGAAAUCAUGAUGACAUUGCAACAUUAAAGCA
This 1350-nucleotide long non-coding RNA is filed under the name Pogona vitticeps (central bearded dragon). RNAcentral's name for it is "lncRNA (ENSPVIG00000014162.1)". Lineage: Eukaryota; Metazoa; Chordata; Lepidosauria; Squamata; Agamidae. The record is from RNAcentral.